CAGUCGCCACGGGAAAACGAGUGGGGCAAGCGUUGUUCGGAAUUAUUGGGCGUAAAGGGUGCGUAGGCGGUUUGAUAAGUCAUCUGUGAAAUCUUCAGGCUCAACUUGAAGUCUGCAUGGGAAACUGCGGGGCUGGAGUAUGGGAGAGGAGAGUGGAAUUCCACGUGUAGCGGUGAAAUGCGUAGAGACGUGGAGGAACACCAGUGGCGAAGGCGACUCUCUGGUCUGUAGCUGACGCUGAGGAGCGAAAGCGUGGGGAGCGAACAGGAUUAGAUACCCCAGUAGUCCCUGUCUCUUAUAU
This 301-nucleotide ribosomal RNA is filed under the name uncultured bacterium. Its description in RNAcentral is "partial 16S ribosomal RNA". It matches the Rfam family "Bacterial small subunit ribosomal RNA", at positions 509 to 809 of the family's 1533-position model. The record is from RNAcentral.